Canis lupus familiaris (dog) is the source of this 145-nucleotide non-coding RNA. The record is from RefSeq and is marked provisional. NCBI's taxonomy places the organism in Eukaryota, Metazoa, Chordata, Mammalia, Carnivora, Canidae.
CAGAAAGCAUUCCUGUCCUUGGCCGUGCCGCCGUGCAGCCUCAGGGCUGGAGUCUGGAGACCCGAGCUGCCAUCUGACCUGGCGACUGGCUCCGUAGGCCCUCAGUUCCCUCCCCUGCCACAGGCACCCAGGUUGUACAGGAGGA